RNAcentral lists this ribosomal RNA (468 nucleotides) under uncultured bacterium. RNAcentral's name for it is "partial 16S ribosomal RNA". It matches the Rfam family "Bacterial small subunit ribosomal RNA", at positions 28 to 507 of the family's 1533-position model. The record is from RNAcentral.
GACGAACGCUGGCGGCGUGCUUAACACAUGCAAGUCGAACGGAAAGGCCCUGCUUUUGUGGUGUGCUCGAGUGGCGAACGGGUGAGUAACACGUGAGUAACCUGCCCUUGACUUUGGGAUAACUUCAGGAAACUGGGGCUAAUACCGGAUAGGAGCUCCUGCUGCAUGGUGGGGGUUGGAAAGUUUCGGCGGUUGGGGAUGGACUCGCGGCUUAUCAGCUUGUUGGUGGGGUAGUGGCUUACCAAGGGUUUGAGGGGUAGCCGGCCUGAGAGGGUGACCGGCCACAUUGGGACUGGGAUACGGCCCAGACUCCUACGGGAGGCAGAAGUGGGGAAUAUUGCACAAUGGGCGGAAGCCGGAUGCAGCAACGCCGGGUGCGGGAUGACGGCCUUCGGGUUGUAAACCGCUUUCGCCUGUGACGAAGCGUGAGUGACGGUAAUGGGUAAAGAAGCACCGGCUAACUACGUG